This 200-nucleotide unclassified non-coding RNA is filed under the name soil metagenome. RNAcentral describes it as "partial contains internal transcribed spacer 2 and large subunit ribosomal RNA". The record is from RNAcentral.
GUCCGAGCGUCAUUUCACCAAUCGAGCCUCGCUCGGCCUUGGGCGCCGCGGUCCCCCGCGCGCCCCAAUGUCUCCGGCUGGGCCGUCCGUCUCGAAGCGCUGUGGCGACUCAAUCCGCUUGCGAGUUCGGGGGGCUUGUCGCCGUUAAACCCACUCACCAGGUUGACCUCGGAUCAGGUAGGGAUACCCGCUGAACUUAA